This is a non-coding RNA of Chlorocebus sabaeus (green monkey), 1249 nucleotides long. The record is from RefSeq and is a predicted model, not a curated record. NCBI's taxonomy places the organism in Eukaryota, Metazoa, Chordata, Mammalia, Primates, Cercopithecidae.
AUGACGAACAGGCGUUGCCACGCCGUGAAAGACACAGAGAUCGACCAGAAGGCCUACGUGGCCCAGGUGGAAGGCGUCGUCAGCAGUACCUAUGACUAGAUCCAGCUGUGGGAUGACAGUGGACCACUUGUGUACCCAGCUGGUUUUGUGUCCAACUUUAUGGGGCUGUUCUAUGCCCCUGGGCCGAGGCACUGACAUUCAUAUGCCCAAAACAUCUUUGCUGUGCUCUACCUGGCCACCUUGCUGCUUGUCUUCUUGAUCUACCACCAGACCUACAAGGUACCUCCCUUUGUCUUGUUUUUCAUGUGCCACGCCUCUUACUGUGUUCACUCCACCGUUGCGGAAGUCAGAGACCCCGAACGAACCUUUGUGCUGUGACUCUUCUAUGACUCAGUGCCCUCAGUAUCAGCCUCCUGCUGGCCCAGGGCUGGGGCUGGGGCUGCUGGUGUUCCAGCCUGGCAGCCUCCAUGAAGAGGAAUGUGAGGCUCUGCGCCCAUUGGUUACUGUUUCUUCUCCUCACACGGUUUGGCUGCCGUGGGGCCCUCCGCAAGCUGGGCAUCUGUGUUGGCCUUCAGGUGGUGCUGGGGCUGCUCUUCCUGCUGGAGAAGCCCACUGGCUACCUGUCUCACUCCUUCAACCGUGGCCGCCAAUUUCUAUUCUGCUGGACAGUGAACUGGCGCUUCCUCCCAGGGGCUCUCUGCCUGCACUGUGCCUUCCACUUGGCCCUGCUAACCACCCACCUCACCUUGCUCUUGCUGUUUACCCUCUACUGGUGGCACAGGAUGGGGGGAAUGUAUCUUGUCCCUGCUGAAGGAUCCCUCCAAAAGGAAGGCUCCACUCCAGAUCCUCACACCCAGCCAGAUCGUUUCUACCCUCUUCACCUCUAACUUCACUGGCAUCUGCUUCAGCCACCCCCUCCACUACCAGUUCUACAUCUGGUAUUUCCACACACUGCCCCACCUCCUGGGGGCCAGGACUGCACACUGGCUCACACACCUGCUCAGGUUGCUGGGGCUGGGGCUCACGGAGGUCUCCUGGAACACAUACCCCUCCACAUCCUGCAGCUCUGCUGCCCAGCAUGUGUGCCACGCUGUCCUCUUGCUGCGGCUCUGGCUGGGCCCACAGCUGUUCCCCAAGAGCAUCCAACACAGCAAGAAAGUUCCCUGAAAUCCACCCCUUUCCCUCCAGUGCACACUCAGGACCUGGGGAUAGACUCUGUGCCCUUCCAAAUAAACCUUGCCAAGUCCUA